Small nucleolar RNA from Cavia porcellus (domestic guinea pig), 145 nucleotides. It matches the Rfam family "Small nucleolar RNA SNORA48". Rfam says of the family: The snoRNA ACA 48 has been identified to guide pseudouridylation of the residue U3797 in the 28S rRNA subunit. Its host gene EIF4A1 (eukaryotic translation initiation factor 4A1) is shared with U67 and snoRNA mgU6-77 The record is from Rfam. Lineage: Eukaryota; Metazoa; Chordata; Mammalia; Rodentia; Caviidae.
UGCCCCCCUGGCAUUGGGCAAAGAGACACCUCAUUGGUGGUGUUAUUCUUGUAUCAGUCAGGGGCAGAGUAGACAGCAGUCCUUUGUUCAUCCUAGCUUGAUGCCUGGUUGGUGGCCAGAGCUGUUUCAUGCUUAGGACACAUGA